RNAcentral lists this ribosomal RNA (293 nucleotides) under uncultured Draconibacterium sp. RNAcentral's name for it is "partial 16S ribosomal RNA". It matches the Rfam family "Bacterial small subunit ribosomal RNA", at positions 505 to 797 of the family's 1533-position model. Lineage: Bacteria; Pseudomonadati; Bacteroidota; Bacteroidia; Marinilabiliales; Prolixibacteraceae. The record is from RNAcentral.
GUGCCAGCCGCCGCGGUAAUACGGAGGAUGCAAGCGUUAUCCGGAUUUAUUGGGUUUAAAGGGUGCGCAGGCGGGCCUUUAAGUCAGUGGUGAAAUCUUGCCGCUUAACGGUAAAAUUGCCAUUGAUACUGAAGGUCUUGAAUAUGGUUGAGGUAGGCGGAAUGUGUUGUGUAGCGGUGAAAUGCAUAGAUAUGACACAGAACGCCAAUUGCGAAGGCAGCUUACUAAGCCAUUAUUGGCGCUGAGGCACGAAAGCGUGGGUAGCGAACAGGAUUAGAUACCCGGGUAGUCCC